GUUGGUGGUUUGGCGGGAGGGGUCCACCCGUUCCCAUUCCGAACACGGAAGUUAAGCCUCCCAGCGCCGAUGGUACUUCGCAAGAGGGAGAGUAGGUAGCCGCCAACU
RNAcentral lists this ribosomal RNA (108 nucleotides) under Candidatus Kaiserbacteria bacterium. Lineage: Bacteria; Candidatus Kaiseribacteriota. The record is from RNAcentral.